Molecule: ribosomal RNA, 651 nt
Filed under: Triticum aestivum (bread wheat)
Lineage: Eukaryota; Viridiplantae; Streptophyta; Magnoliopsida; Poales; Poaceae
Description: partial small subunit ribosomal RNA
Source: RNAcentral
AUGCAAGCACACGGGCGUCCAGUCCAGGUCGAGCUACAGCUUUCCAUGGAGACAAGAGUAAGACCACCCCAAGGCACACGACAUCAAAGAGGGCCAGCUCCAGGUCGGGUCGGCGGUGGCCACCAUCAUCUUGCUUCUCCACCACUUUCCGCCUAUACCACGCCGCUCGCCGGCCACCUGCACCUGGGGACAUCAAGCAAGGUGACAAGUGAUAGAAUUAGAACGAUUCCCUUUCAAAAGAUGCAGCGUUUCUUAAAGGAAAAAUAUCAGCUAGCUCUUGUAAUGUUGCUAUGUAGAGUGUACUGCCAAGGACUCCACGUAUACUGGGCAAAAGGCCUAUCUCUUCUGAUAGCUCAUCUUCUCCUGCUCCGACGACGACAACAACGGCUACCGGUAGCGCUCAAGUCAACACCACCUGGCUUGAUGUGUGUCAACCUAGAGAUCAAGGAUUUUGUUAGCGCUGAAAACCUGCAGAAAGUUACUCUACUUCAUCAACCAAAAGUAAACCAUCUCCUAGUGAUUCUCACUUCUUGUCCAGCAUCAGGCAAGUGGCAGGAUUGCUGGUUGCUUGCUAGUGAAGAAUGCCAAGAAGGAAGGCGAAGCAAAGGACACAACAUCAGAGGAAGCCAAUGGAGACAUGAAGCAAGGUGA